Molecule: ribosomal RNA, 865 nt
Filed under: human gut metagenome
Description: bacterial SSU rRNA
Rfam family: Bacterial small subunit ribosomal RNA
Source: RNAcentral
GCAAGCGUUAUCCGGAAUUAUUGGGCGUAAAGGGCUCGUAGGCGGUUCGUCGCGUCCGGUGUGAAAGUCCAUCGCUUAACGGUGGAUCCGCGCCGGGUACGGGCGGGCUUGAGUGCGGUAGGGGAGACUGGAAUUCCCGGUGUAACGGUGGAAUGUGUAGAUAUCGGGAAGAACACCAAUGGCGAAGGCAGGUCUCUGGGCCGUCACUGACGCUGAGGAGCGAAAGCGUGGGGAGCGAACAGGAUUAGAUACCCUGGUAGUCCACGCCGUAAACGGUGGAUGCUGGAUGUGGGGACCAUUCCACGGUCUCCGUGUCGGAGCCAACGCGUUAAGCAUCCCGCCUGGGGAGUACGGCCGCAAGGCUAAAACUCAAAGAAAUUGACGGGGGCCCGCACAAGCGGCGGAGCAUGCGGAUUAAUUCGAUGCAACGCGAAGAACCUUACCUGGGCUUGACAUGUUCCCGACGGUCGUAGAGAUACGGCUUCCCUUCGGGGCGGGUUCACAGGUGGUGCAUGGUCGUCGUCAGCUCGUGUCGUGAGAUGUUGGGUUAAGUCCCGCAACGAGCGCAACCCUCGCCCUGUGUUGCCAGCACGUCGUGGUGGGAACUCACGGGGGACCGCCGGGGUCAACUCGGAGGAAGGUGGGGAUGACGUCAGAUCAUCAUGCCCCUUACGUCCAGGGCUUCACGCAUGCUACAAUGGCCGGUACAACGGGAUGCGACAUCGCGAGGUGGAGCGGAUCCCUUAAAACCGGUCUCAGUUCGGAUUGGAGUCUGCAACCCGACUCCAUGAAGGCGGAGUCGCUAGUAAUCGCGGAUCAGCAACGCCGCGGUGAAUGCGUUCCCGGGCCUUGUACACACCGCCCG